UGUAAGCGUAUACCAAAGUUGUUGCAGUUAAAACGCUCGUAGUCGGAACUUGGCAGUUCCGGAUGUGUGCACGUCGUGUGCGCACUUCGCGGGGAUUGCUUUUGUGGUCUUGCGUAGGAUGAGGCACUUUUAUUAGUGAACGUCCUCACGCAACCACUUUUUACUGUGAGAAAAUCAGAGUGCUCAAAGCAGGCAUUUGCCGUGAAUGUAUUAGCAUGGAAUAAUAGAAUAGGACUUGGUUCUAUUUUGUUGGUUUGUUGGGACUGAGUAAUGAUUAAGAGGGACAGUUGGGGGCAUUUGUAUUUCGGUGCUAGAGGUGAAAUUCUUAGAUUACCGAAAGACAAACUGCUGCGAAAGCGUCUGCCAAGGAUGUUUUCAUUGA
Molecule: ribosomal RNA, 382 nt
Filed under: uncultured eukaryote
Lineage: Eukaryota
Description: partial 18S ribosomal RNA
Rfam family: Eukaryotic small subunit ribosomal RNA
Source: RNAcentral